Molecule: long non-coding RNA, 216 nt
Filed under: Olea europaea (common olive)
Lineage: Eukaryota; Viridiplantae; Streptophyta; Magnoliopsida; Lamiales; Oleaceae
Description: long non-coding RNA (OEUR_LNC008790)
Source: RNAcentral
AAAAGACCAAGUGCUAUUUCUACGUCUCGUUUUCAUCUCACAUAGUUAUUCCCAGUCAAAGUUUCAAUAGCAGACAAUUGAUUCGAAAGAGAUGAGGCAUUAUAAACUGUGGAAACAUAAAAUAUCACUCUUAAUAUCAUCCAAACUUAAUGCAUGCAAUUAAAUGGAUGAUGAAAUAUCCAACUAAUUAAUAUGGGCUAUUAAUUAGAUAAUCCG